GUGCCAGCAGCCGCGGUAAUACGUAGGUGGCGAGCGUUGUCCGGAAUUACUGGGCGUAAAGGGUGCGUAGGCGGAUGUUUAAGUCAGAUGUGAAAUCCCUGGGCUCAACCCGGGAAUAGCAUUUGAAACUGGAUGUCUAGAGUGCAGGAGAGGGAAGCGGAAUUCCUAGUGUAGCGGUGAAAUGCGUAGAUAUUAGGAAGAACACCAGUGGCGAAGGCGGCUUCCUGGACUGUAACUGACGCUGAGGCAC
This 250-nucleotide ribosomal RNA is filed under the name uncultured bacterium. Its description in RNAcentral is "partial 16S ribosomal RNA". It matches the Rfam family "Bacterial small subunit ribosomal RNA", at positions 505 to 754 of the family's 1533-position model. The record is from RNAcentral.